GCGGGCCCAACACAUUGCAAGUUCGAGCGGUAGCACAGAGAGCUUGCUCUCGGGUGACGAGCGGCGGACGGGUGAGUAAUGUCUGGGAAACUGCCUGAUGGAGGGGGAUAACUACUGGAAACGGUAGCUAAUACCGCAUAAUGUCGCAAGACCAAAGUGGGGGACCUUCCGGCCUCAUGCCAUCAGAUGUGCCCAGAUGGGAUUAGCUAGUAGGUGGGGUAACGGGUCACCUAGGCGACGAUCCCUAGCUGGUCUGAGAGGAUGACCAGCCACACUGGAACUGAGACACGGUCCAGUCUCCUACGGGACGCAGCAGUGGGGAAUAUUGCACAAAGGGCGCAAGCCUGAUGAUGCAGCCAUGCCGCGUGUGUGAAGAAGGCCUUCGGGUUGUAAAGCACUUUCAGCGGGGAGGAAGGCGGUAAGGUUAAUAACCUUG
This 436-nucleotide ribosomal RNA is filed under the name Klebsiella pneumoniae. Its description in RNAcentral is "bacterial SSU rRNA". It matches the Rfam family "Bacterial small subunit ribosomal RNA", at positions 42 to 471 of the family's 1533-position model. Lineage: Bacteria; Pseudomonadati; Pseudomonadota; Gammaproteobacteria; Enterobacterales; Enterobacteriaceae. The record is from RNAcentral.